Molecule: ribosomal RNA, 424 nt
Filed under: uncultured bacterium
Lineage: Bacteria
Description: partial 16S ribosomal RNA
Rfam family: Bacterial small subunit ribosomal RNA
Source: RNAcentral
AAUCUUGGACAAUGUGGGAAACCCUGAUCUAGCCAUCCCUCUUGUUUGAUGAAGGCCUUCGGGUUNUAAAGUACUUUUGGCAGAGANGAAAAGGUAUCUCCUAAUACGAGAUACUGCUAACGGUAUCUGCAGAAUAAGCACCGGCUAACUACGUUCCAGCAGCAGCGGUAAUACUUAGGGUGCAAGCGUUAAUCGGAAUUACUGUGCGUAACGCGUGUGUAUGCGGUUCGGAAAGAAAGAUGUGAAAUCCCAGGGAUCAGCCUUGGAACUGCAUUUUUAACUGCCGAGCUAGAGUAUGUCAGACGGGGGUAGAAUUCCACGUGUAGCAGUGAAAUGCGUAGAUAUGUGGAGGAAUACCGAUGGCGAAGGCAGCCCCCUGGGAUAAUACUGACGCUCAGACACGAAAGCGUGGGGAGCAAACAGG